GCCAGGAUGGCGGAAUUGGCAGACGCACACGCCUUAGGAGCGUGCGCCGCAAGGCAUAAGGGUUCGAGUCCCUUUCCUGGCACCA
This 85-nucleotide transfer RNA is filed under the name Acidobacteriota bacterium. Its description in RNAcentral is "Acidobacteria bacterium tRNA-Leu". It matches the Rfam family "tRNA". From Rfam's summary of the family: Transfer RNA (tRNA) molecules are approximately 80 nucleotides in length. Lineage: Bacteria; Pseudomonadati; Acidobacteriota. The record is from RNAcentral. RNAcentral also lists the same sequence under 2 other names.